GAUGAACGCUGGCGGCGUGCCUAACACAUGCAAGUCGAGCGGCAGCACGGUCUUCGGACUGGUGGCGAGCGGCGGACGGCUGAGUAACACGUAGGAAUGUACCCCAGAGUGAGGAAUAACUGCCCGAAAGGGUAGCUAAUGCCGCAUACGCUCUUCGGAGUAAAGGCUUCGGCCGCUUUGGGAACAGCCUGCGUACGAUUAGAUAGUUGGUGAGGUAACGGCUCACCAAGUCGACGAUCGUUAGCUGGUCUGAGAGGAUGACCAGCCAGACUGGAACUGAGACACGGUCCAGACUCCUACGGGAGGCAGCAGUGAGGAAUCUUCCACAAUGGGCGAAAGCCUGAUGGAGCAACGCCGCGUGCAGGAUGAAGGCCUUCGGGUUGUAAACUGCUUUUAUGAGUGAAGAAUAUGACGGUAACUCAUGAAUAAGGGUCGGCUAACUACGUGCCAGCAGCCGCGGUAACAC
RNAcentral lists this ribosomal RNA (466 nucleotides) under uncultured bacterium. RNAcentral's name for it is "bacterial SSU rRNA". It matches the Rfam family "Bacterial small subunit ribosomal RNA", at positions 28 to 526 of the family's 1533-position model. The record is from RNAcentral.